UUGGAGGGCAAGUCUGGUGCCAGCAGCCGCGGUAAUUCCAGCUCCAAUAGCGUAUAUUAAAGUUGUUGCAGUUAAAAAGCUCGUAGUUGAAUUUCGGGGUCAGUAGGUUGGUCGUGCCUAUGGUAUGUACUGGCUUUACUGAUUCCUCCUUCUUGAAGAACUGUAAUGUCAUUAAUUUGGUGUUGCAGGGAAACAGGACUGUUACUUUGAAAAAAUUAGAGUGUUUAAAGCAGGCUAACGCUUGAAUACAUUAGCAUGGAAUAAUGAAAUAGGACGUUCGAUCCUAUUUUGUUGGUUUCUAGGAUUGACGUAAUGAUUAAUAGGGAUAGUUGGG
This 334-nucleotide unclassified non-coding RNA is filed under the name uncultured Glomeraceae. RNAcentral's name for it is "SSU rRNA". It matches the Rfam family "Eukaryotic small subunit ribosomal RNA", at positions 548 to 886 of the family's 1831-position model. The record is from RNAcentral. Lineage: Eukaryota; Fungi; Glomeromycota; Glomeromycetes; Glomerales; Glomeraceae.